This 301-nucleotide ribosomal RNA is filed under the name uncultured bacterium. Its description in RNAcentral is "partial 16S ribosomal RNA". It matches the Rfam family "Bacterial small subunit ribosomal RNA", at positions 510 to 808 of the family's 1533-position model. The record is from RNAcentral.
AGUAGCCGCGGUAAUACGUAGGGCGCAAGCGUUAUCCGGAAUUAUUGGGCGUAAAGCGCGCGUAGGUGGUUCAUUAAGUUGGAUGUGAAAGCCCUGGGCUCAACCUGGGAACUGCAUCCAAAACUGGUGAGCUAGAGUACGGUAGAGGGUAGUGGAAUUUCCUGUGUAGCGGUGAAAUGCGUAGAUAUAGGAAGGAACACCAGUGGCGAAGGCGACUACCUGGACUGAUACUGACACUGAGGUGCGAAAGCGUGGGGAGCAAACAGGAUUAGAUACCCCUGUAGUCCCUGUCUCUUAUACA